RNAcentral lists this RNase P RNA (366 nucleotides) under Fulvivirga lutea. RNAcentral's name for it is "Bacterial RNase P class A". It matches the Rfam family "Bacterial RNase P class A". Rfam says of the family: Ribonuclease P (RNase P) is a ubiquitous endoribonuclease, found in archaea, bacteria and eukarya as well as chloroplasts and mitochondria. Lineage: Bacteria; Pseudomonadati; Bacteroidota; Cytophagia; Cytophagales; Fulvivirgaceae. The record is from Rfam by way of RNAcentral.
AAAGUAAGUCGUCUUGCCGUGUCCCGGUUAUACCGGGAUAAGGAAAGUCCGGGCAACAUAGAGCAUCGUGCUUCCUAACAGGAAGGUGCUGAGCAAUCAGCAACAGAAUGUGCCACAGAAAACAAACUACCCUGACUUGUCAGGGAAAAGGUGAAAAGGUGAGGUAAGAGCUCACCGGCUAGGUAGUGAUAUCUGGUGCUAGGUAAACCUCACGAGUUGAAAGACCAAAUAAGCUGGUAUUUGAGGGCUGCUCGUCCAAAUCAGUGGGUAGGUCGUUUGAUCCUGAUGGUGACGUCAGGGCUAGAUAAAUGGCAAGAAUCCACCUUUUGGUGGAUACAGAACCCGGCUUAUAGACUUACAUUUUUU